GACGAACGCUGGCGGCGUGCUUAACACAUGCAAGUCGAACGGUAAGGCCCUUCGGGGUACACGAGUGGCGAACGGGUGAGUAACACGUGGGUGAUCUGCCCUGCACUUCGGGAUAAGCCUGGAAAACUGGGUCUAAUACCGGAUAGGACCACUGCCUGCAUGGGUGGUGGUGGAAAGCUUUUGCGGUGUGGGAUGGGCCCGCGGCCUAUCAGCUUGUUGGUGGGGUGGUGGCCUACCAAGGCGACGACGGGUAGCCGGCCUGAGAGGGUGACCGGCCACACUGGGACUGAGAUACGGCCCAGACUCCUACGGGAGGCAGCAGUGGGGAAUAUUGCACAAUGGGCGCAAGCCUGAUGCAGCGACGCCGCGUGAGGGAUAACGGCCUUCGGGUUGUAAACCUCUUUCAGCACCGACGAAGCGCAAGUGACGGUAGGUGCAGAAGAAGGACCGGCCAACUACGUGCCAGCCGCCGCGGUAA
Molecule: ribosomal RNA, 478 nt
Filed under: uncultured bacterium
Lineage: Bacteria
Description: partial 16S ribosomal RNA
Rfam family: Bacterial small subunit ribosomal RNA
Source: RNAcentral